GAUGAACGCUGGCGGCGUGCCUAAUACAUGCAAGUCGAGCGAACAGACGAGGAGCUUGCUCCUCUGACGUUAGCGGCGGACGGGUGAGUAACACGUGGUUAACCUACCUAUAAGACUGGGAUAACUUCGGGAAACCGGAGCUAAUACCGGAUAACAUGUUGAACCGCAUGGUUCAACAGUGAAAGACGGUCUUGCUGUCACUUAUAGAUGGAUCCGCGCCGCAUUAGCUAGUUGGUAAGGUAACGGCUUACCAAGGCAACGAUGCGUAGCCGACCUGAGAGGGUGAUCGGCCACACUGGAACUGAGACACGGUCCAGACUCCUACGGGAGGCAGCAGUAGGGAAUCUUCCGCAAUGGGCGAAAGCCUGACGGAGCAACGCCGCGUGAGUGAAGAAGGUCUUCGGAUCGUAAAACUCUGUUAUUAGGGAAGAACAAAUGUGUAAGUAACUAUGCACGUCUUGACGGUACCUAAUCAGAAAGCCACGGCUAACUACGU
RNAcentral lists this ribosomal RNA (496 nucleotides) under uncultured bacterium. RNAcentral's name for it is "partial 16S ribosomal RNA". It matches the Rfam family "Bacterial small subunit ribosomal RNA", at positions 28 to 506 of the family's 1533-position model. The record is from RNAcentral.